GUAGGCAUAGUUUAAGCAAGACAUUAGAUUGUGAUUCUAAAAACAGAGGUUAAAAUCCCCUUGCCCACC
RNAcentral lists this transfer RNA (69 nucleotides) under Pandaka pygmaea (dwarf pygmy goby). Its description in RNAcentral is "tRNA-His". It matches the Rfam family "tRNA". Rfam says of the family: Transfer RNA (tRNA) molecules are approximately 80 nucleotides in length. Lineage: Eukaryota; Metazoa; Chordata; Actinopteri; Gobiiformes; Gobiidae. The record is from RNAcentral.